GUGAAGAAAAGUUGAAAAGUACUUUGAAGAGUUAAYGAGUACGUGAAACCGUUCAGAGGUAAACCUAAGAAACCCAAAAAAUCGAACGGGGAGAUUCAUCGUCAACGAAACUGGCUUCGCGUCGGUGGGCGAUAACCCCGCGGUGUGUCCUAAGCGGCACGCGCGUGCGGGCACGCUACCGAACGCCGAUGUCCGGUUUUCGUCGUCGUGCACUUCUCUCCUAGUAGAACGUCGCGACUCGCUGUGUGUCGGUCACCGACCCGGGUGCGGUUACUGUCACGUCGCCCGUAAAAACGGCGCGCGGCAAACACCCCCGGUCGCC
This 322-nucleotide ribosomal RNA is filed under the name Pseudomyrmex aff. flavicornis-a MAS-2013. RNAcentral's name for it is "partial 28S ribosomal RNA". The record is from RNAcentral. Lineage: Eukaryota; Metazoa; Arthropoda; Insecta; Hymenoptera; Formicidae.